Molecule: non-coding RNA, 30 nt
Filed under: Homo sapiens (human)
Lineage: Eukaryota; Metazoa; Chordata; Mammalia; Primates; Hominidae
Source: RNAcentral
UGGUGUGCGACCCACGGGAUGAAACUCUCC